GACGAACGCUGGCGGCGUGCUUAAUACAUGCAAGUCGAGCGAGGUCCAUCUGGUGGCAACACCAGUGAAGGCCGAGCGGCGAACGGGUGAGUAACACGUGAGCAACCUGCCCCGAAGUCUGGAAUAACAUCGGGAAACCGGUGCUAAUACCGGAUCGCCCCACCUGACCGCAUGAUCGGGUGAGGAAAGAUUUAUCGCUUCGGGAGGGGCUCGCGGCCUAUCAGCAGUUGGUGGGGUAACGGCCUACCAAGGCAUCGACGGGUAGCUGGUCUGAGAGGACGACCAGCCACACUGGGACUGAGACACGGCCCAGACUCCUACGGGAGGCAGCAGUGGGGAAUCUUGCGCAAUGGGCGAAAGCCUGACGCAGCGACGCCGCGUGA
RNAcentral lists this ribosomal RNA (383 nucleotides) under uncultured bacterium. RNAcentral's name for it is "bacterial SSU rRNA". It matches the Rfam family "Bacterial small subunit ribosomal RNA", at positions 28 to 404 of the family's 1533-position model. The record is from RNAcentral.